This 253-nucleotide ribosomal RNA is filed under the name uncultured bacterium. Its description in RNAcentral is "partial 16S ribosomal RNA". It matches the Rfam family "Bacterial small subunit ribosomal RNA", at positions 524 to 776 of the family's 1533-position model. The record is from RNAcentral.
UACGUAGGGUGCGAGCGUUGUCCGGAAUUAUUGGGCGUAAAGAGCUCGUAGGCGGUCUGUCGCGUCUGCUGUGAAAUCCCGAGGCUCAACCUCGGGCCUGCAGUGGGUACGGGCAGACUAGAGUGCGGUAGGGGAGAUUGGAAUUCCUGGUGUAGCGGUGGAAUGCGCAGAUAUCAGGAGGAGCACCGAUGGCGAAGGCAGAUCUCUGGGCCGUAACUGACGCUGAGGAGCGAAAGCGUGGGGAGCGAACAGG